GAAGACUAACUACUGCGAAAGCAUUUGCCAAGGAUGUUUUCAUUAAUCAGGAACGAAAGUUAGGGGAUCGAAGACGAUCAGAUACCGUCGUAGUCUUAACCAUAAACUAUGCCGACUAGGGAUCGGACGAUGUUAUUUAGUUGACUCGUUCGGCACCUUACGAGAAAUCAAAGUGCUUGGGCUCCAGGGGGAGUAUGGUCGCAAGGCUGAAACUUAAAGAAAUUGACGGAAGGGCACCACCAGGGGUGGAGCCUGCGGCUUAAUUUGACUCAACACGGGGAAACUCACCAGGUCCAGACACAAUGAGGAUUGACAGAUUGAGAGCUCUUUCUUGAUUUUGUGGGUGGUGGUGCAUGGCCGUUCUUAGUUGGUGGAGUGAUUUGUCUGCUUAAUUGCGAUAACGAACGAGACCUUAACCUGCUAAAUAGUCAGUAUUGCUAUGGCAGUACGCGGGCUUCUUAGAGGGACUAUCGGCUCAAGCCGAUGGAAGUUUGAGGCAAUAACAGGUCUGCGAUGCCCUUAGAUGUUCUGGGCCGCACGCGCG
This 544-nucleotide ribosomal RNA is filed under the name uncultured fungus. RNAcentral's name for it is "SSU rRNA". It matches the Rfam family "Eukaryotic small subunit ribosomal RNA", at positions 931 to 1497 of the family's 1831-position model. The record is from RNAcentral. Lineage: Eukaryota; Fungi.